RNAcentral lists this ribosomal RNA (286 nucleotides) under unidentified marine bacterioplankton. RNAcentral's name for it is "partial 16S ribosomal RNA". It matches the Rfam family "Bacterial small subunit ribosomal RNA", at positions 58 to 339 of the family's 1533-position model. RNAcentral also lists the same sequence under 1 other name. The record is from RNAcentral.
CAAGUCGAACGAGAAAGUUCCUUCGGGAAACCAGUAAAGUGGCGCAAGGGUGAGUAACACGUGAAUAAUCUGCCUAUGAAUUCGGGAUAACUCGACGAAAGUUGCGCUAAUACCGGAUAAGACCACACCUCUUAUGGGGAGUGGCCAAAGGAGUCUAAAACUUCGUUUAUAGAUGAGUUCGCGGACCAUUAGCUAGUUGGAGGAUAAUACGCCCCCAAGGCUACGAUGGUUAGCCGGCCUGAGAGGGCGAUCGGCCACACUGGAACUGACACACGGUCCAGACUCC